GUGGAUUUUCUACUUCAUUGUACAAAUACAAUUUCAAUCAAUUCCAAUUCCGAUUGAUCUCUCAUUUUACAGCAUAAGACUGAAGGAAGAAACAUAACGUACUGCAAAGGAUGCACAUUUCCUGUCAUGAUUCUUAGAUGCGCUAAGAUGACCCUUCUGCUAAUGUCCUCUUCGAAGUACUGAUGUACAGAACGUUAUUUCCG
Molecule: unclassified non-coding RNA, 203 nt
Filed under: Hevea brasiliensis (rubber tree)
Lineage: Eukaryota; Viridiplantae; Streptophyta; Magnoliopsida; Malpighiales; Euphorbiaceae
Source: RNAcentral